GCAGUCGAACGGUGACGACGGGAGCUUGCUUCUGUUUGAUCAGUGGCGAACGGGUGAGUAACACGUGAGCAACCUGCCCCAGACUCUGGGAUAACCCCGGGAAACCGGAGCUAAUACCGGAUAUGACACUCGCACGCAUGUGCAGGGUGUGGAAAGUUUUUCGGUCUGGGAUGGGCUCGCGGCCUAUCAGCUUGUUGGUGAGGUAGUGGCUCACCAAGGCGACGACGGGUAGCCGGCCUGAGAGGGCGACCGGCCACACUGGGACUGAGACACGGCCCAGACUCCUACGGGAGGCAGCAGUGGGGAAUAUUGCACAAUGGGCGGAAGCCUGAUGCAGCGACGCCGCGUGAGGGAUGACGGCCUUCGGGUUGUAAACCUCUUUCAGCAGGGAAGAAGCGCAAGUGACGGUACCUGCAGAAGAAGCACCGGCUAACUACGUGCCAGCAGCCGCGGUAAUACGUAGGGUGCGAGCGUUGUCCGGAAUUAUUGGGCGUAAAGAGCUUGUAGGCGGUUUGUCGCGUCUGCUGUGAAAAUCCGGGGCUCAACCCCGGACUUGCAGUGGGUACGGGCAGGCUAGAGUGUGGUAGGGGAGACUGGAAUUCCUGGUGUAGCGGUGGAAUGCGCAGAUAUCAGGAGGAACACCGAUGGCGAAGGCAGGUCUCUGGGCCAUUACUGACGCUGAGAAGCGAAAGCAUGGGGAGCGAACAGGAUUAGAUACCCUGGUAGUCCAUGCCGUAAACGUUGGGCGCUAGGUGUGGGACCCAUUCCACGGGUUCCGUGCCGCAGCUAACGCAUUAAGCGCCCCGCCGGGGGAGUACGGCCGCAAGGCUAAAACUCAAAGGAAUUGACGGGGGCCCGCACAAGCGGCGGAACAGGCGGAUUAAUUCGAUGCAACGCGAAGAACCUUACCAAGGCUUGACAUACACCGGAAUCACUCAAAGAUGGGUGCGUCUUCCGACUGGUGUACAGGUGGUGCAGGGUUGUCGUC
RNAcentral lists this ribosomal RNA (988 nucleotides) under Intrasporangium sp. RNAcentral describes it as "bacterial SSU rRNA". It matches the Rfam family "Bacterial small subunit ribosomal RNA", at positions 57 to 1056 of the family's 1533-position model. Lineage: Bacteria; Bacillati; Actinomycetota; Actinomycetes; Micrococcales; Intrasporangiaceae. The record is from RNAcentral.